Paramormyrops kingsleyae is the source of this 644-nucleotide long non-coding RNA. RefSeq lists it as uncharacterized. The record is from RefSeq and is a predicted model, not a curated record. NCBI's taxonomy places the organism in Eukaryota, Metazoa, Chordata, Actinopteri, Osteoglossiformes, Mormyridae.
GGGGGGGUUGCCCGUGAAAACCCAUAGUCAGGAAAGGGAAAGAGAAAUGGCUGCUCUCUCCGGAAAACAGACUCAGGGCUGGCAUUGAUGGGCGGGCAACUUUGGUCACCUGGCAGGAGUGAGAUUUUCCGACUCUGGGCCUGAGUGCGACUUGGAUGGACAUAUCUAGGAAAGCUGGUGGAAGAGGUGUUGGCAUAACCAACAGGGAAGCUUUUCCCAUCGUCUGGGUGGAUCGCAGUUGCAGCGAGGGGGACACUUUGCUGUAAAAAUGGUAAUGAAUGAAAUGUAAAAGUUCAGCCGGCCUUGAGAACAGCCCUAACUAGACAGAUGUUGAUAUAAAUUUGGUAUUAUUAUUGACAAUUAAGCAUUAUUAUAUGUUUCAUUUAAAGCAAUAUCAACCUGCAGGUGCUGUUUUUAUUUUCUUAAUAUCUUUUGUAUUUAUUUUUUCUUUUUUUGCAAUUUUGGUGUCAUCCAGCAGGGGGCAGUAUAAACUUAUAAAUAGUUAUUCCUCGAGCCAACGCCUGCAGUUAGGAAUGGUGGGCUUGUCCCAAAGGAAACCACUUUCUGAGAUUCAUUUUAAUAUGUCAUCACCUUAAGCCCCCAUAAACAGCUUUGGGCUAUGCUGAAAUGUCAUCUGAGGCUGU